Molecule: long non-coding RNA, 1743 nt
Organism: Xyrauchen texanus (razorback sucker)
Lineage: Eukaryota; Metazoa; Chordata; Actinopteri; Cypriniformes; Catostomidae
Exons: 3
Source: RefSeq, a predicted model, not a curated record
UAAUCUUUCCCUUCACCUUAGCUAUCAAAUCUCAUAUGCACUUCCACAUAUUUAAACUUUGCACAAAACAUUCAGUUACAUGUGAAAACGUUUGGUUGCGAUUGUGCUGAACCAAUGCAAUUUGAAAAAAUUAUACAAGAAGGGAAGAUUAUCAGUUAAUUACGACUUAAAUUUUGGCCUGUUCCUCUCCUAUGGUAUGGUAUGGCUUCAGAAGAUUUGCAAUAUAGAGCACAAAUCAUGUAACUACGUUCUUGGUAUUCUUUUUUGCCCUUUUUGGACCUUGACAGAGCCAGGUCAGUUUGUAAUGUAUGGAAAAAAAAAAUACAUUCCACAGUACAGAAGAGUCAUGUGAGUUAGAAAUUACAUGGGGAGUAAAAACUGACAGAAUUUUCAUUUUUGGAUGAACAAUUCCAUUAUGGAAAUAUCUAAUGUAAAGCCUUAUCCCUGUUUCCCAGUUGUGCUUUUUUCAUGUUUAACCAUGAAGCAUACAGAGAGUUAACGAGCAGACGCACACAGCAUGGGUGUAAAGAGUCAUUCCUCGUCAGGCAGGUUGUUUAACCUGGUCAGUUUCCCAAUGGGAUUUAAUAUCCUUGGAAAAUAUGUGUAGAAAAGAGGGUCUGGAGGUGACUGAUGGCCCUCUACAGGAAUCAUGGAUGCUCUGUUUGCUCAAACUGAGGAGGUAAAUAAAGGUGAUGAAUGUUUGGUGCAGUGUUUAAAUUUUUUAUAUGGAAGUGAGUGCAGCUUUUAGCAGAAGACUAAAGGAACCCAAAAUGGGGAUAUGUUCUCUUAUUGCUGCUCAUGCAAACUAUGUUUACUACAAAUCCUGAAAUGUGCAUGCACUUUUUAUGUAUUGUAUGUUGAAACCGAAUCAAGAUUGUACUCCCAACAUUUCAUGGAAUCACUUUCACUAAUCACUAGUCUUAAAAGGUAUGUUUUUGCUUUUUAUUGUUUAGUGUCCAAAAUCAGAUUAUGUCCAUUUGCAUUGAUGCACAUGGAGGUUGUAAAAAGGUACAGACAUGAUAGGAAUAAUAUGUAUUUAUAUUUUAUUUAUUUAUGUAUAAACCAGACCAUAUGGCACCAACAAACAUACAUGGUCCAAAUCAAUGAGAUAAAAUUUUUUCACCAUUCUGAUGGUUGAUGUGAACAUUAACUGAAACUCCUGACCCAUAUCUGCCUGAUUUUAUGCACUGCAGCCAGGAUUGGCUGAUUAGAUCAUCGCAUGGAUGAUUUUUGGUGCCAGACGGGCUGGUUUGAAUAUUUCUGUAACUGCUGAUCUCCUGGGAUUUUCAUACACUGCAGUCUUAUAUUUACUCAGAAUGGUACAAAAAACAUCCAGUGAGCAGCAGAUCAGUGGACAGAAACGCCUUGUUGAUGAGAGAGGUCAACAGAGAAUGGCCAGACUGGUUCGAACUGACAAAGUCUAUGGCAGUCGCAAAUUCGCAGGGCCAGCAAAGCCCUGCUGGUCUUACAUGCCAAAUAAAUAGAUGCAUGAUGCACCAUUCAGUUAUUUUAGUUUCUGAAAACCCCUGGUACCACAGUGCACAUCAUGUUGCACUUUAUACCACUGCAGUUUAUGCCCUUCCCUGAAGCCAACCACCAAGAAAAAAAUAAACCUACACUGGGAAGGGCAUUUAAAAAAAGCAGUUGUUUUCCAAGGCAAAAGAAUAUGUUGUUGCCAUUUGCCCUGUAGAACUGAGGCUCAUUACCAUUGUCCCAAUUGCAGCAAAACUGUUCUGAGGAGAU